GGGGAAUAUUGCACAAUGGGGGAAACCCUGAUGCAGCGACGCCGCGUGGAGGAAGAAGGUCUUCGGAUUGUAAACUCCUGUUGUUGAGGAAGAUAAUGACGGUACUCAACAAGGAAGUGACGGCUAACUACGUGCCAGCAGCCGCGGUAAAACGUAGGUCACAAGCGUUGUCCGGAAUUACUGGGUGUAAAGGGAGCGCAGGCGGGAAGACAAGUUGGAAGUGAAAUCCAUGGGCUCAACCCAUGAACUGCUUUCAAAACUGUUUUUCUUGAGUAGUGCAGAGGUAGGCGGAAUUCCCGGUGUAGCGGUGGAAUGCGUAGAUAUCGGGAGGAACACCAGUGGCGAAGGCGGCCUACUGGGCACCAACUGACGCUGAGGCUCGAAAGUGUGGGUAGCAAACAGGAUUAGAUACCCUGGUAGUCCACACUGUAAACGAUGAUUACUAGGUGUUGGAGGAUUGACCCCUUCAGUGCCGCAGUUAACACAAUAAGUAAUCCACCUGGGGAGUACGACCGCAAGGUUGAAACUCAAAGGAAUUGACGGGGGCCCGCACAAGCAGUGGAGUAUGUGGUUUAAUUCGACGCAACGCGAAGAACCUUACCAAGUCUUGACAUCCCUUGACGAUGCUGGAAACAGUAUUUCUCUUCGGAGCAAGGAGACAGGUGGUGCAUGGUUGUCGUCAGCUCGUGUCGUGAGAUGUUGGGUUAAGUCCCGCAACGAGCGCAACCCUUAUGGUCAGUUACUACGCAAGAGGACUCUGGCCAGACUGCCGUUGACAAAACGGAGGAAGGUGGGGAUGACGUCAAAUCAUCAUGCCCUUUAUGACUUGGGCUACACACGUACUACAAUGGCGUUAAACAAAGAGAAGCAAGACCGCGAGGUGGAGCAAAACUCAGAAACAACGUCCCAGUUCGGACUGCAGGCUGCAACUCGCCUGCACGAAGUCGGAAUUGCUAGUAAUCGCAGAUCAGCAUGCUGCGGUGAAUACGUUCCCG
Molecule: ribosomal RNA, 995 nt
Filed under: uncultured bacterium
Lineage: Bacteria
Description: bacterial SSU rRNA
Rfam family: Bacterial small subunit ribosomal RNA
Source: RNAcentral